AUGUUCAUGUACGGCGGGGAAGAUUUAGGCGGCCACCUAGGCGCUCUAGGCGGUCUGGGCAGUUCUAAGCGACUGUCUAGUUGGCUCUGCAACUCUUACGUAGGAUCUGCAACGCCCAAUCUCAAAGUGGAGCCUCGAUUGAAAUUCUGCAGCUCACCAUUCGAAGAAGAAGAAGAAACGGAAAAACUCAAAUGGGAAGAGUGUUCCGCUUUCCAACAGAAAUAUGGAAUAGAGAAAGAAAGAGAGGUUGGAGAAGAGAGAGAAGAAGAUGAGAAAAUAGAAAGAGCGGGAGAGGCCCUGAGUCGAUCAAAAAGGCCAUAUAAAUGGGCCAUGCACGACAACUGGGAACCCCUGAAACAAUACUAUAAGAGAAACUGGGAAGAGGUUUUCAUUCCAUUGACAACGAACGACGACACUGUACUUCACGUCGUAGCCUAUGCCGGGCGGAGCGACGUGCUCGAGUUCUUGAUUUCACUUGUGACAACUGCGACCAAUGACCCUAGAAAGUUACGGCAUGCCUUGGUGCUGGAGAAUGGCCACGGGAACACCAUCCUCCAUGAGGUGGUGGCGUCGGGAAACCUAAAAGCGGCAAUGCUGUUGGUAAGCCACGAUAACAGCGUUAGGAGUGAGCUAAUUGCUAGACAGGAUGUUGAUCAAACCAAUGAGUACGAGCGGGAUGUUAUUGAUGCUAGGUCUAGAAGUAUUGUGGAGAUUGAGAACAAGCUAGGAGAAACGCCCAUCUACAGGGCAGCUUCUUACGGUCACACAAAAUUGAUCGACUUUUUCCACAAACAAUAUGUGAAUACAGAGCGCCACUUCACCAGAUCUGUUGAUCGCAUGUCCGUUCUUCAUAUCGCUGUCAUUAACCAACAUUUUGACACUGCUGUUUGGCUACUGAAAAAGUACCCAUUUCUUGCAAAAACAAGGGAAGACGAUGGUUUCACAAGCCUUCAAUUGCUAGCCCAGAUGCCAUCUGCCUUCCAAGUCUACAAUCGCGAAAGCUUAUGGAAGAUGCUUAUUCAUAAAUGCCUCUCUGAAGAUGAUAGUGUUGAUGGGGACCGCACCAAAUCAAAACGGUGAUAUAGAGAGCAGAUGGAUUCCACAGCUUCCCACAUCUUGCUUGUCGAAGAAGCUCACAAGAUGGCCUCGAGUCUUUUCGAUCUUGAAGCAAAUAAAAAAUGAAAAAACACUGUCGGAGCUCACUCAGCUGCUCGUGGAGAAAGACUAUUCGUGGGUAGAAAGUAAGAAACCAAAGAAAGACAAGACAAUUUCCUUGGUGUCCUCACAGAAAGAUAUUGCUGCUAUUUGUGGUGAUGGAAGAGAAACAAAAAAAUCUACUAUUUAUAACUACACCCCACUGCUUAUAGCAACUAGCACCGGAAUAUUACCUCUUGUGAAAAGGAUAUAUGAGGUACAUCCUCUGGCGAUUGAGGCGCACGAUAUCGGCAGUCAACAAAACAUUUUGCAUAUGUCGAUUAAGCAUCGUCAGUUGCAGAUAUUUAGGCUUGUGAAGAGAAGCAGAGCGAUAACUUGGAGGUUAACUUCGAGGAUUGACAGUGAUGGAAAUACCAUAUUGCAUCGAGCUGCAGAUAUGGCAAAUUACUCUCCUGACACUCAACGUGUAAGUGGUCCUGCGUUGCAAUUGCAAGAAGAAUUACGUUGGAUGGUGCGCGUGGGAAAGAUAACGCCACCUCAUUAUAGCAUGCACCGCAACAACAAGGGUGUGACAGCAGAGGAGCUCUUCAAUAGUGAGCAUGAAAACCUAGUUCAUUCGGCACAAACAUGGAUAAAGGACACUGCUCAGUCAUGCUCGACCGUGGCAGCUCUAGUGGCCACUGUGGUCUUUGCAGCCGCCUACACUGCUCCCGGGGGUUACAAUUCAGGCGGUGUUCCUGUUCUCCGACAUUCUCCUUUGUUCAGUACCUUUAUCAUCACAGGCGUUGUCUCGCUCAUCAGCUCAUUGUCUUCUCUCGUCACGUUUCUCUCGAUCUUGACAUCUCCAUUUGAGUACAAAAACUUCCAUCAUUCUCUUCCGCUCAGGCUGCAUUUAGGAUUUGCCUUUCUUUUCUUCUCGCUAGUGACGGCCAUGCUUGCGUUCACUGCUACAGUUGUGCUCUUGAUUCAUCUCAACGAGAAAUUGACAUGGUCUCAAGUUUACGUUGCUGCGUUUCUUCCUGUGUCUGUAUUUGGUAUGCAGCUUCCCUUGUAUGCGGGAUUUUCUCAUGCUUUGAUAUUUCUAUUUAAGAAAGUUAAGAAGUUUAUAGUAAAGGAAACCCUCAAUCAGUAAGGGUUUUAUUGAAUGUUGAUUUGUGUGUUGUAAGUCCAAACCAAAAUAAAUACCAAUAAUUACAAAUUGGUCAGAUAGUGGACGAUUGACUUUACAGCUUUUUUUUAAAUUAAUUUUUAGCUAGCAUGUUUUUCACCAUUUACAUAUGUAGCAGAUAUCUUUGAUUUGGGAUCUCUAUUCAACAACUAGAAUUGUAAUCUAUAUUCAAUAAUCAGAGUGUGUUUUUUUUU
RNA transcript from Pyrus x bretschneideri (Chinese white pear), 2517 nucleotides. RefSeq lists it as uncharacterized. The transcript is spliced from 7 exons. NCBI's taxonomy places the organism in Eukaryota, Viridiplantae, Streptophyta, Magnoliopsida, Rosales, Rosaceae. The record is from RefSeq and is a predicted model, not a curated record.